This 198-nucleotide ribosomal RNA is filed under the name uncultured bacterium. Its description in RNAcentral is "partial 16S ribosomal RNA". It matches the Rfam family "Bacterial small subunit ribosomal RNA", at positions 328 to 539 of the family's 1533-position model. The record is from RNAcentral.
ACGCUCGACACCUACUGGAGGCAGCAGUGGGGAAUAUUGCACAAUGGGGGAAACCCUGAUGCAGCGACGCCGCGUGAGCGAAGAAGUAUUUCGGUAUGUAAAGCUCUAUCAGCAGGGAAGAAAGUGACGGUACCUGACUAAGAAGCCCCGGCUAACUACGUGCCUGCAGCCGCGGUAAUCUGAGCGGGCUGGCAAGGC